This is a long non-coding RNA of Apis cerana (Asiatic honeybee), 27253 nucleotides long. RefSeq lists it as uncharacterized. Lineage: Eukaryota; Metazoa; Arthropoda; Insecta; Hymenoptera; Apidae. The record is from RefSeq and is a predicted model, not a curated record.
UCUUAACAUAUUUUUCAUUAAUUUAAAAUUUCAUUUUUAAUUAAUUUUUUGAAAUAAUCAUUGUAAUAUUCUAUAUUUUAAAUUAUAAUGUUUCAUUUUUUGUUACAGUUCUACUUUCUCUUGUUUGAUGACGAUUCCAAGAUAAUUUCUUAUGGGUCAUGACAAUAGAGAUGGCAAUGCAGAUUUUUUACAUCUAUUGGUGAGUCGCAUGCGUUUUGUUUCCUCUGGUCACUCAAUCAUGUCGUAGGAUGAAAGAUCCGCAUCGACACGAGUGAUUGGUUGUAUUACGUAGAAUUUUACACGAGCACAGUGACCAUGGGUAUUUAUUAUAUCCAUGAAUAAUAAUAUUUCUUUUUUUUGUGUGUUUUAUUUAUUAAUAUAGGAUAGGAUCUUCUUGCAUAUCGCGUUGUAAUAUAAUUAAAUGAUUUUUAUAAUUAAUUUAUUAUUAAGAACAGUAUAUUUAUAUUCAUAUGUGGAUAAUGUGAUAAAAUGUGAGUCUUUCAAUAAAUAAUAAAAUAAAAAUGAUUUUAUUACAAUAGAAAUUCAAUCUAUUUAUAGUAUAAAUUUAUAGUAUAAAUCUAAUUUAUAUAAUCUAUUUUAUAUAUUAAAAUUUAAUCUAUUUUGUAAGAUUUAUUCAAUUUUAUGUGCAAGAAGAAGCUUCGCGACAGGUAGAUUUCGGAAUUAAAGCAACAAAUUUUGAAUAUUUUCAUGACGUAGAAAAUGUGUUUUGAUAAAGAAAUCGCCUGAGGCUUUUUUUUAUAUUAAUUUUCUUAAAAUAAUUACUUUUAUUAUAAUUUCUUUUUCUUUAAUUCUUUAACAUUAAUAUCUUAGUAAUUCAUUAAAGUAGAAUCAUUAAAAUUUGAAGUAAAAUAUACAAAAUGAUAUACAAAAUGAAAAAAUAUUAGUCCGUUAGACACAAAAUAAUAAUAUUUUUCUAGCUCAGGAUUUUCAGGUUUAAUCCUUUCCGUGUUCAUUGCCAAGAUCUCACUCACGUGCCCAGGUGUUACUUGGGUGAGAGAAACGCAAUGGAUACGAUGACAAUACUUUAUAAAUUUAUAACAAUAUUUCAGCGACUGACGAUGCGUUAGUGUAUCGUGCACGACGUAUUUUCCACGUUGUGUAUGUGUGCGAUUAGGCCGUGGAAUUGCGUCGUUUAUAAUUUUAUCGGUAUUAAGUAACGCGGAUUAAUUAUGUAAAUAAUAAUCUUUUAUUUAAAAUUGAUAAAAAGAAAUUUUAUUAUUUCUUUAAAAGAUAUAUGUAUUCUUUUGCAAUUUAAAUUAAGAUGCAUACAGAGUUUUAUCGCAAUUUACGCAAUGGUCGCUAGCCAUCGUCAGUCGAUUUCAGGGAAAUGGUACGUAAAGUUAGAGUGUGAAUGCAGUGUGCCAAGCUCGGGUGUCGGAGGCGUCCCGGGACGUUUUCCCUAGUGUAGGCAUUUUGCGCCCGAGCAUUAUGCGUGAGAAUCGUGGAAUGAAUGUGUUGGUAUGCCUGUUUUGCCAUAUUUUUUAAAUAUAGGGUUUAGGUAGGAUAGGUAGUAUAUUUCUGGUGUGCCUGUUAAUUAUAAGUAGGUAGGGCCGGGCAGGUUGUCACAGUCUCUGAUCGGGUAGGCGCGUUUUCGCGUGGCAACCUGUUUCAGGAAAUAAAAUUUGAAAAAUCGAGAGCAAAACUGAGACGAAUGGAGAGUACCAUAUCGUUUCUGGUUUUUCCCGUCGAUUUUUCGAAUUCCGCGGUCGCGAUCGCGAAUUAAACGAUCUCGAAACGAACGUUGCGCUCGAGAUUCUGCGCGUGCACGGACAAUUAUCAUUGCGAUCGUUGGUCGUCCACGUGCGAUUAGUUUUCGCGAUUUAGUCUUUAUUUUUUUUUUUUUUUUUAUUUGCGAUUAGUGAAUCUCGAGCCUAGAUUUAAGUUUCAGCGGGCAUUGCGCCCGAAGGAGGAAGACCGAAGAGGCCCGACAAACUGUCACGAAGAGGGCUGCAACGAAUGGCUUCUCAUCUUUUGGAUUUUGUCCAAAGAAUGGGAAGUCAUUGUUAUUAUUUUGUCACUGUGCUCGUUUUAGUAUCACAUAGUAAAUGUUGCGUAUUGUCCGGCCGAUGCAUGCGGGCCCAUCAUCCAGAUGCAGUCAUCGUGGGCAAAUCGCGGUUUUGUAUUAGUGUUGCGAUAAAUUAAUUACGGGUUGAAUUAGAGUUGCGAAAUAAUUUCACGGUUUUUUUAUUAGUGUUGCAAAAAACGAUUUACGGAUUGAAUUAAUCUUGCAUUAAAGCGAUAAUCGCGUUUGCGUUAGUAUUACGCAAUUAUAAAAUAUCGCGAUAUUUUUAAAUAUUUUGAAUUAGAUAAUUCUUUAUAUAGUUCUAUUUAUAUUUAAAUUGCAAAAUCAUUAGUUUUCAAUUCAUUUCCUAGUGUUUCGUUUCAUAAUAUCGGGAUAUUUAUUGUUUUUUAUUCAUAGAAUAACAGUAAAUUAUUAUUAGAUUCAUUUUAAAAUUAGUGUUGCGAUAUUAUUUCAUCGCGAUUGUUUUAAUUAGUGUUGCGUUGAUAAAUGAUCGCGUUUUUUAACUAGUAUUGCGUUUGUAAUAUGCCCAAAAUUCUUCCACUGAUAUGGUGGAAAUUGUUCCUGAAUCAUCAUGCAGCUAGAAAAGCUGCACAAUGAUGGUUUGACAAUGGCAGCCUUUGAUAUGGCUGCACCGACUUCAGUUUUUCGCUAUUAGUGUUGCGUAUAUUAAAAUAUGAGUGCAUAAAUUAGUAUUUAUUAGUGUUGCGUAAUUUAUUAAAACGCCUUAUUAAGAUAUUCGGGAAUCAUUUAUUUAUUUUUUAUUUUUUUUUUUGAUUAAGAAUUGCAUUGCAAAUAAAAUAAAGCACUCUACGGUUUCUUUUCUAAACUUAGUAUAUUAGUGUUGCGAAAGAGAAAAUAUUCCACUCACGGUUUGUUCGGGUGUAUUGAGUGGAUAAUUAUUAUAAUAUUUUGGUAGUACUUCUGACUACCUUUUCUUUGUCUUUUUUUUUUCAGCCAUCUCACAGAAUGUGGAUUAUUAAAGGUAAUGUUAAAAAAUAUAAUUAUUAUGGAUAUAUAUAAUGGAUAAAAAUUUAGUUUUUCAUGUAGAUGGGAUUUAUAAACGAUGUAUUUUUUACGUGGAAAUCUUUAAUUUUCCGAUAGAUAGGAUUUAUCCACGAAUCCUUAUAUCCUUAUAUCAUAAAUUUAUUAAAAUAUCAGUGUAUUUAAACUACUCAGAUCGAUCACCCAAUAAUUUGUUUUAUUCCUGUGUCAAAUGUGAUAGUUUUUCCAGUCCUAUUCGAUAUUCUUCAAUAUUUUUUAUAAGAGUUUCGUUUAAAAUCGAUGUUUGGCAGCAUGUGAUACAAAAUUCCACAAGAUAUCAUUAUGUCUCCUCUUUAUUUCUCGUGCUCGUGGCACAAUAUAAUUAAUUUAGUUCAAUUAAGGCAGAAAUUCAGACAAUAAGUGACACCUAUGCACUUAUUGUCUGAAUUAUAAUUCUUAAUAAACUCUAUCGAUAAACUGCUUAAUGUAAUCUGUUGCACGAUAUUUUUUUGCAAAGAUACAAAGUAACUUAAAUCGAUGAAUUAAAUAUAACAUUCGGUUUACAAAGCUUUCCUAGUUGAGGAUUUUAAACAAGAUAUGAACGACAAAAAAAUUCGUUUCGAAAAAUUAUUCGUGUAAUGAUGAAAGGGUGGAAAAAUGAAGGGGAUAUGAGGGGAAAAAGUGAAAAGAUGAGGAAAAAAAAAACAAUACCAAUGAGAAACAAUUGAUUUCGUAGUUUAUUGCAUCGAACACAGGAAAAUGUCGCUUAAUCAAAAGUGCGUGUCGGGGUACCAAAUCUCGUGAGCUCCGUUUCUUUCUCGCAUUUUUCAGAAUUUGUUCGUCCGCGGUUGAAUCUCAGCAGUCUCCGUCUCCCGUAUGACCCUAAUAAUGAGAGAGAGAGAAAAAAACGCACACGCACACAGAGAAAGAGAGAGAAAGAUAGAGAGAGAGAAGGAUAGGAAGUUAGCUGCCGAACACCCUAGGCUAAUCUCUCAUAACUGAAGUGGCUCAUUUGCGGCGAGACUCGCAAUGCUCAUCGAGGAAUAAAAAAGAGACCGAAGAAAAAAAAGGAUAAGUAGCGAGAGAGAAAAAGAAAAAGAGAGCGGAGACAAAGCUGGGUAGGAUUAUAAGUUAGGAUAAUUGGCAGCAAGCCCUUUUUCCCCGUGUUAGUCACCAUGAUAUAUAUAUAUAUGUGUGUGUGUGUUCCAAGAGAAGAGAAAUUUUGAAGCCUAUUUUAAUAGGAAGGAAGCUGAUGUUCGAAUAAUAAACGCGAUUUUAUACAUAAAAGAAUCCAUGAAGCCAUUCUAAAUCCCAAAAAUGGAUUCGAUGGAACGAAAUCUCGAGUCCCUGAAUAAAAUUAUCUUAUUCAAGUGUGUACGGUUGAUACAUUGAUUUGUUUAAUAUCCUUUCGUUAAACGAGGAUUAUUGGAUUGUGAAUAUUUAAGUGAGUUUAAAUAUUGGAACAAAGUGAAAUGAAUUCUCUUCACGUCUGGUGAAUUUUAAAUUUCUAACGAUUUCUAAACAUAUAUUUCAUUAUUCAUUAGAAACAUUUAAUUUUAGAGAAUACAUUUAUAACGCAUUAUAAAUAUAUAUCAUUAUUAAUCGAAAUGGAAUCAGUGAUUUAAUCGAAGACAACAUAAAUGACGUUAGUUUACCGAUAUCUACGAUCAAUUAAUAUAUAAAAUUAAAGGGGAAAUUCAAUAUGAAAGGAAAAAAGAUCUAAAAAUGUUUGAAUAUCGAUGAAUUCCAAUGUAUAUCCCUAUGAAAGCGAUUUCAUCUGGAUUCGACAUAGCAAUUUGGCCAACAUCAGCACGCGAGAAUUCCCAUGGGAACUCACGUCCGCAGAUCGUGGUGGGAUUUCGUUCGACAUGUAUUUUAGUGGCGGGAAAUCUUCGAUCAAUCCCCUUUUCCACUGGGAAAGAAUUAUCGGAAAUUCACAUGAUGAAGCAUAUUUUGUUAUUUAAUAGAUAAAAAGAUUCGCAUAAUGAUAGAUGAUUUAUAAAAAAAGAAAAUAUAUAAAAUGAAUAAAUUCGUGAUUAAUAAUAGACGAUAUUCGAAAUUUUUUUACGUUAAAAAAGGGUUGCAAGAAAAAUCAAAUCCGUCCGGAGGAUUUAACUUAAGAGAGUUUUCACGAUGCAAAGAAGUAUCUCGACGCAAAAUUGUCUGUCGUGAACAAGGGAAGAUGGAGGAGUGAUUUGCUUUGUAUCGUUACAAAGAGAAUAAAGCCGGCAGAGGGAUGAUGUAUAGAGGAGGGUGACAUAUUGUAGAUAUUCGAAACAAGAAGAUGGAAGAUGAAACAGAAUCCUCCCUUGAGAGGGGGAUACUAUCGAAGAAUGGUAUGGUAUAGUUCGUUGUAGUGUCUGUGGCAAGAAUCAUUGACCAGAACUUGAUUCUUCGAGAAUGCUCUUGAGCGGUAUGAAGAUGUCGAAUAUUGGAAUCUGGAGGACUUCCCCUCGAUACAAUACAAAUUUUUAUUGGAAACUUCAAAUCCUUUCAUAAAGUUCAGAAAAAUAGUUCUGCUUGCAAGAAAUAAAAAAAAAAAAAAAUAGAUAGAAGUUCAAUAUAAUAUCUUUGACAAAAAUGAAUCAGAGUAAAACUUUCAUCGUUGGAAUAAUGGAACGGAGACUUUUCUUGGAUGAAUUAUUCUCAGAUUUUGAGGAAAAUAUAAUACUCUUACUUACAACAAGAUUACAAAAAAAUUGGAAAUUCUACAUUUUCGUCUAAUUAUUUAAUAUACAAAGAAAUAUGAAAUCGUGCGAAUAAUUUUCAAUUUCAACCUUCUGUUUUUUGAUAUCAAUGAUUACGGAUUUCUCGAUACUUUUGUCUUUGCGAUAUUAUCGUGUAUGCCGCAACCAAUAACCGUCAAUUUUAAAUUAAAUUUUAUUCCCGCUGCUGCGAUAAGAAAUAACGAUAAGAAAUAAUAAUUACACGGCUCGAAUAAUAUAAUUUUCAGUUAAUUGAACUGUUAUUUAAAACUCGAGUGAAUAAGUUUGACAAAUAGAAAUGACGGAACGAUAAAAUCGAUUGUAGUCGUUUCAACACGGAUGUCGAAACGGAUUAGUCCAAUCUUCUUGCCGAGAUAAAUCUCUCGGAGAGGAGAAUUACGAAAAUAGUCGAACUGCUUAACAAAGAGUUCCUCCACAGAGGCACGAAGUCUGUACCCGUAUCGAGGUUUAACGGAUCUUUUUUAAAUUCACGUCGCGCGUCCCCUCGGUUUCGCAGUUUUCCUCAGUUUCUUUCCACUCUCUACCCAUACCCGUCAUCAUUCCUCCGCUAUGGUAGUCCAGUAUCACCGCAUCAACGAGGGGCGUAGCCUUUAGGCGAGAGUAAACCCGAUUAGACGAUACGCUAAAUCUCAUUCAACCGGCCUUCAUUCUUAAGUGCUUCUUUCGUUCCUCGUAAAAAGCGUUUCGUAGCUCAAGGGACGUCUCGCGGAAAUGUUCUCGUAUUCGAGAAGAGGUGGAGCGAGGAACUUUUUUAUCCUGAUUAAUAUUUCGCGAAUCGUUUCGUAACGUGUUUGCUUAUCGGUUGCUUUGAAUUCUUUGGAGAAUCGAUUAUAUAUCGGACUCGUGGCAACAGAAGAUAUCGAACGAAGGGAUUAAUUAUUAUUGUCCUGUUUUAAUAGUCGUUCAACUUUAUUAACCGCACGAGUCGUGUACGAGUGCAUUUGAAUCGGGGAAAUUUUAUUAACUUUCCCAUCGGGCCAAUAAAAAAUUUUAUUCUAAAUUUUUUACGACAAGGUUCGGCAAGGUAUUAUUCGAGAUUUCAUAGACUGGUAUAAAUAUUUUCACGAGUGUCGGAACAACGGGCAUUGAUCAAUCGCCAGUAUUUAAACGCGUUGCAACCGUGAUGCAUCGGUCGUUGCAACCGCUGCAUCAUUAAACCACAACGCUCUCAAUAACGAAGAGAUAAACUGCAGUUCGUAACCAUGUAACCAGAUGGUAAGAAUUCGAGUCAUAUGUAUCACUGUCAUGCAAAUUGCUUUCUCCCCGCAUAUUCUCUAUCACCACGUUCCUGCCGUUUCUAUGCAACCCUUGCAAAUACUAUUGGAAACUGUACGUGAUAUAUGCGCGACGAGAUUUCCUCGAUCGAAAAUGUAUUCUUUGAAUCGUUUAGAUUUCAUUUUUCGUGCACCAAAAUACAAGAAACGAUAUUAGGAGAUAGAUAAUAAAUUGUGUGCAAUCCACUUUGGUCGAAUAUUAGUCUCUAAUUUUUUGUCUAAAGCAUGCAAUGUGAUAUGCAAAUAUACACUGCAAAUCCCGACGAAUCGAAGUUCGAUGUAACACUUUUGCUUGAAAAAAAAAUUGAACGAGAUGAAUCGAAAAAUCGUAUUACUAAUAGAGACGUGUUUGAUUCAAGGUGCAGACGAUGACAGAAAAGAAAGAAGAAAAAGAAAAAAAAAAGGCAGCAUGCUUAGAGCGAAAGCAAAGCAGUGUCGAUUCUCGUGAGUUGUAAUGGAUGCUCACCUGGUCUCCGUCGUGUCCUUGCCAGCUGUCGUGACUCUGCAACAAAAGGAACGAAUAUAUGAAUUGCAAAUGCACGUUCUGUUCACGUUAAAAUUCUCGAUGCAUUCGAUCGAUUGAAAAGAGAGAGAGAAGAGAAAGAGAGAGAGAGAGAGAGAGAGAGAUGGAAAGAAAUCGCGGGUAGACAGGGUGGACAGCCAAAGAAACAGAGAUGUCGUAAUUUAGGUCGAGAUAAGAAACGUGCCGGGUGUUUUCUUGGUUAUCCGCAGUUUUCAUUUAUACCGUGGAACGGGCCGGACAGAUUAAAUAUUGUUCGGAAAAGAAUGGCCCCGACAGAAUCGAAAACAAUACGAAAGUCUGUCGAUAGAGCGAGUGAUACCGCUACGGCUUCUAAAAAGACGGCUUUCCUACCUUUCUUUUGCUCUCGACAUGCGCUUUCUUCCCGCUCUGUCCAAGUUUAAACUUGGAACGAUAUUGUGCUGCCAUUUGUGUGUAUCGAAAUUGAACAAGUUUUAUGAUUCGAUUCUCCCAUUUAAUCUUGGGAUGGAUAUAAAAGAUGGAUAUAUUAGAAGAAAUUUGAGGAAAAAAAGUGGGUCAGAAUGUACGAGAAACGUUUGCGAAGAAUUUCAUUUGUCCCUCUAGCAGAUUUUAGUAGUUAGAAUUGAAAAACCAAGCAGACAGGAAGCAUUUCGCAAUUUCCUACUUUCUUUUCUUAACCAUCCUGACAAUUAGCCGGAUGCGAAGAUAUGGAAAAUGCAAUUUUCUAUUUUAAAAAUUGAAAUAUUCGAUCAUCAAUCAGGAUUAAAAGAUUCAAUUAUUCUUUUCUUCGUUUAUAUAACUAUUAAAGAAUUGAAUUAUUUGAAAAUUAUUCUUCUCAUCGACUCUUCAAUUUGAUGCUUCGUUAAAAAAAUAAGAAUAUUUUGGCAACACUUUUCACAACAUAUUUGCCAGAAUAACAUCAACACGACGAUAUCAUUUAAUCAAAAUUAAUCGCCUGUAUAUUAUACAAGCUGUUACAUUAACGCAAAUGGGAGAAUGCAAAACGGAAGAGUCGAUAAAUUGGGCCGGGAUUUGAAUUUAUUUCCCGUCGCGUCAUUUUCAUCGAGCCGAGCUGGAAUUUUGAUAUUAAAAGGAAUAUCGCACGCCGUAGAGUAUUAUUAAAACCGGUGGAACCAGAAAACGAGAAACUAGAACGUUGAUGAAAAUCGUGACAGAUACGAAAAUAAUUCGAAACGGUGGAAAACGUCAAUUAAUAUUAACGAGAACGAUCGACAAAGUAAAUGAGAAAAAGAAGAAGUAAAUUAAUUCAUUGGUAAUUGAAGAAUUAUUCUACCGGAUGUGUGCAGAACGUUUUUGAAUCUGGUUCUGUGACGUUCAGACAAAGGAUUUAAAGCGGAACGAGGAAGCGAAUAAGAGAUUACGACAUGGAAUUGAUAGUAAAGUUUCUGUCACUAUUUGUAGUUCAGGAAACUAACCGAAAAUCUAUUUCCAGGAAUUCACGGUUUGAGUAACAAAGGCACGGAUAUCAGACUCUAUAAAGUAAAUGAAAUUGUGUCAAUUUUAGCGUAUAACUGAAUUGGAACCACCAUUCCAAUGUUCUACGCUUCACGUGUCUGACUCUUCAAUCUGCAUAUCUUCCAACUUUAUAAACGCAUUCCUCGGCUUGAAAUAAAGUAAGAACACAAAGAUCAAUUUCACCUGGUGGCGAUCACGUUAAAUAUUAAUGUUGAUUAAAACGUCUUUGAUCAUCUUCGAAUUGUGCAUAUCUUCAUCUCCAUAAUUUUUUGCAUUGUAAAGGAGCGUGGCAUAAAUUUUCAUCGCUUCCAUAUUCCAUAAAUCUUAAUCGUCUGAAGGUUAAUCACGUGAUCUAUAUUCCUUGUCACGAAUUCGGAUUUGCCCGAUAAUUCAACAUCACCACAAGGUGAACGCAAUCGCGCCGCUCUUACGGUCAAUAUUGAUACAGAAACGCGAUCGAGCCAGCCAUUGAAUUUCCGAAUUCUAUUUAUCCGACAAAUCGAAGAAUUUUCCGGGACAAUAGCUUGUGUCCCGGGAAAAAUUUAACGAGCCUUAAAGUUGAACGAACAAAAAUUGUGCUCAAGUGUGAUUCGCUCGAUUAUUUAUAAGCAUAUAUUGAGUUGAGAAAAAACGAAGCUGACGAAAUAAUAACACGAAUCCUGCAAAUUUAUCUCCAUAGAAAUGUUUCGUUAAUGUAGACUGUGUUAAUAAUUGGCUCGAACGAGUGAUCGAACGUGGGGAUAAUUAUACUGUAAACAAUACAUACGUUCUACGAGUGGAUAUUUCGCGGAAAAUAGAGGCUCAUGAAUGAGCCAAAUAGGGUUCGAUGCCAUCGCAUUGACCAAUAUUAAUAUUUGCACACGGGCGGAAUGGAGCCACCGUUCGAAUUUCCAAAUUCUAUCCAUCUAUCCAUCUAUGUUAAGUACAUAGACGGAAGCGUGGUGAUAACGGAAUUGAUAGAAUCGUAUAAUAAUAAUUACUAUCUCUAUGCUUCUAUGCUUCUCCUCCCAUCCUUCCAUCGAUUCGUCCCUCGAUUUUGAUUCGCCGAUCGUCAUUGUUCGCACGAUCGAGCAAUAGAAAUUAUUACUGGAAUUAUAAUCAAACGUGGACACCGAUCUUUGAUUUGAUAACCAAUCACCAAUUAAUUGGCACGAUAACGAAAUUACUAGUAGCUUAUUUCGAUUCGACUCGCCUUGUUUCCACGACGUCUAAUUGGGAACGUUUAUCGUUGAUCCAUUCUCCUUAUACAAUCCUGAGUUUCGUUUUUGAUGCAAAAUUCUUAUCCUAUUUUUCGAUUAAUAAAAAUGAAAAUAAGAAUUUAUGGCUCGAUUGUCUAUUGAAUUAAAUUGAAUUUGAAGUUACAUACGUAUACAGAAUAGAAUAUUUAAAUAUAAUAAAGCACGAUAUCCAAUUCUAUUACAUUAAAGAAUUGAGAUUAUAAUUUCUUCAAGAAUUUUUCAAUUCAAAUACGCCAGUAGUAUGCACAGAAACAUAUUAGAAUACAAUAUUUAAAACAUAUAUAGUAUUCAAAAAUAGGAUAUAAGAAUUCUCAUAAUUCUAAAGGUAAAUAUUGGACAAAUUCCAGACAAUCUCGAGUCGUUGAAGUAUCGAACUACUAAAGCUAUCGAUUUCAAUCUUUUCCUUCAAACAUAUCCGAUACUUGUUCAAAGGAUUCCAGCUCAGAAAUUCUCAUAUUUCACUGAAAUAAAAAAAAAAAAGAUUAAAGCGCCUGAAUUUUUCCAAGAAACUGGCAGAAUUAAUAGCGCGACGUUCAGUCAAACAGAAACGUUUAAAUAUGGUGGCACGGCAAGUUCGGUUCCGUGAAUUUUCGGUUGGCCGAUUCCUCGGGCGUUUCUAUUCUCCAUCAGCCACGAAACGGCUGCUUUCUAGGCAGCAGCCAGCCACGACCUCACGAUGCACGCCACAUCCAUCAAGUCGGAUGAAACCGCCGCGCCGUUCUCUCACCGUAUAGGUGACGUAAGUUCCGUCUGGAAUGGGACUCCGUGCUAGACGAAACACCUUGCCUAGGAAUUACGCGAGCCGAGGGAAGCCGUGUACACACGGAUAUCCAAAUGCAUCUCAAUGUGUUCAAACGACAACAAAUGGCGCAUCUGUCUGUCGGUGCAGCGUAAUUGACCUCGUCUAUAAUUUUUGAGAAACGGACGAAGAGAGGUCUUUUAAUUUUCGUUAUAUUAAGAUUAUUCGUUAUACUCGAAGAGUAUGUAUGUGAACAAAAUCACAGGUAUGGGUUUUUGAAAAGAAGUAUAGAAUAAUUAUCUUUUCUUGUUUUAGUGAAAUAAAAAGUAGUUGAAAUUAUACAGUUUUAUAUAUAUAUAUAUAUCAUAUAUAUAUCAAGAAAGUUAAUCAAUUAUUCACGAGUGAAGAUACUUUGGAAAAUUUUGAUUUUUAAGAUAUGUUUAUAAUUUUUAAGAUAUUUAUAUUGCCACAUUUUUUCGAUACUUUCAAUACUUUCUUGGAUUUUUGUAAUAUUUAAAUCCUUCGAUCCCACAAUGAAUAAUUCUGAAUGGUGAAGAUCUUGAUAGCUUUACUGGCUAUCCAAUCGUAUAUCCAGACGCACAUUUCUUAUCUUUUUUUCUUCUUCUCGUUCUUCUCGAGCUAUUUCCUCUCAAUUUCUUAUAGACGUCGAAUGUCGAUCGGAUCGAAGUCAUGAUUUUCUCAUUGGUCGAACGACUACAUCAAUUGAUCUGUCAGAUAGCUUCGAUAGCUUCUUUCUUCGAUCAAUAUUCGAGCAUUUCUCUAUUUUUUAUUUUCUCUAUUUUAUAUAAUUUUUCUUUUUCUCGAAGAACUUUCCAAUUCUAUUAAAACAUAUAAUAAAUUCUUUGUCUUAUAAUAUCAUGAGUGCAAAAUCAUAAAAAUUUUAAAAAAUAUUUAUCGCUAAUUAUUGUAUUCUUCUCUAAUAAAUUAUAUAGAUAAUUCUGAAUAUUUAUUGGAAUUUUGAAGUUUAUAAAAGAAGGAUAUAUAAAGAUAUCAAGAUUUCACAAUUUCAUAUAUUGUCUUUCGAGUUUAUUUAAACAGGUAUUUACUUUAUGUAGCGAGAUAGUUUUUAAAAUAGCUCGACAAAUCUCACUUUAUGGUUCAUGUAAUAUGUUAGGAUGUUCGCCUAUGAAACUCCACGCAGCUUCUUGUUCCAUCGAGCUAAUAUACUUCCGCUUUUUUCCUCAUUAGUGUUCGUGAAAACGAGAAUUUUAGAGAGACGCCUCCAGAAAUUGCUACUUCUACUUCUCGUAAAAAUAACUAAUAAAAAUGAAUCAUUAAUCUUAGAAAUAUUAUAUAUUAAUUUCGAACGAAAGAAAUUAAAAUUUAUUCCUACAUAAUUAUUCAGUACUUAAAAAUCUAUUAUUCAAAAUUAUUUUUACAGGAAAAAAACAUUAUUUCUUGGAAACAAAAAAUAAAUUAUUGAACAAAAAUAUACAAAAUUAAGAAAAACAAUAAUUUUCGAGCGAUUCACUUGAAGAAAUUUAAAAAAUUAUGAAUAGCGAAAAAGAAUUUCAUUUCGAUAUUUCAUUCCUCGAACGUAUAACGUAGCAAGUGUUAAUAAAUUCCACGAUUUUCGAGUAGAAAUGAGCAAUUAAUACAAGCUUAAACAAAGUACUUAAAUAAUGCACUUUCACAACGAUGUGUACACAUAAUUCGACAAAUAUGUUACGUCCACAAUUUUUAAAUAAUGAUAAAUUUCGAUGGGAUGCGUUAAAAAAAUAAACGAUACAUUUCUGCAAUGAUACACAUAACUCGACAAAUUUGAACGCAUUUCAGAAUUUUCAAGUAACGGUAAACAAUUAAUAUAAACAUAAAUAAAGCGCGGUGGAAAAGCAGAGUGUGUAUUUUAUCGUGAUAUGAUUGUUUUUUCACUCGUUUCUGGUUUUCCAAACACAGCUCGUUAUAACUGAGAGGAAGAUUAGUCUACUGGAGCUCGAUGCAAUAUUAACGCAGAGCGGCCAUAAAGUAUUCAUACGUCUCCGCGUAAAUUUCAGCCGCGGCCGGACUGGCUCAUCGUCCCUUGAAACACUGGCCAAAUACCGGCACUAAUUAAUCACUCUCAGACAAAUUGCCGAACCCCGGCGUUUUGCUUGUAACACCGGAAGUCUGGGACUGUGGGGCGUGUCUGGUUCUUGUUGGCCCCUUCCUCGUGUAGUAUCUUGUCUAGAUCAGCCCGGGAACGAUUUCUCGAGGAGCCGGCUACGUGGAAGAAAAUCAUGGAACACCGGCGAUGAAAGGUGGCCAACUGGAGAGACCGAGGAAAAAGACGAAAAAGGGGGGAUUUAUACGCGGGAGGAUCGAUAUGACGAUGUGAAAAAUAAAUUAGUUUUUAAUAUUAAUAAUAAUAGAUUUAGAUCGAGAAGAUCGUCGAAAUUGUGUUAAAAUUUAUACAAAAAUUUUUAUCGUCUAACGAUAGUCUCAUUUGAAAAAAGUUUUAUCAUUUUCUCUAUGUCAUUUCUCCUAGGACAAAUAAAUUAAAACGUUUUCUAAAGUUCGUAGAAAGUUUCUUAUAGUUGUGAAAAAUGAGAUUUAAAAUAUAUGCCGGAUAAUGAAAAAAACAUUGGAUAGAAUAUUUUAAUUUAAGAAGAGCGAUGUUUUUCUUUUUGAACAAAAAUAUGAAUUAUUAGAUAAUAAAAAUUUUACUCGUAUGAUUGAAAUGAUAAAAUUAUAAGUUUAUAAGAAAUAUUGAUAUAUCUUCUUAUGAUAAUAUAUGAUAUCAAACUUAGUAGCUUAGUGGGUAGAAAAAGACGGAAUAUUUUUGAAAAGUUGCCCAUAUCGGCAACACGAGAAGCUGUGAAAACAGUGGAUUAAGAAGCGUCGAGAUUAGAACUCUCUGUUGACGUUAUUAACAGCUUCGUUCGUUCAAGACUACGUUGUUGCCAAGGAAGCUUCAUUUAAUCCGAUUUAUUACAAACUAUAUAUGAAUAUGAUGAAACGAAUGAUGAUCUUCUGAAAGUACACGCAAGAAUUUCUGUAAACUUUACCAACCAAUUUAUGAUUUAUAAAUUGAUCGAAAUAAAAAUAAAAGAAAAACUCGAGUGUCGAAUAUUUCCGUGGAAUUUUUCUUUCGAUUUUUCUUUCGAUAAAACUAAAGGACCAACGUCGAUCGAAAAAGUCAUGAUCAAAGAAAUUUUGGAGUGACUAACGUACGUUGAAAAUACCUUGAAGAUAACGCGCAAGAAGGCGUUUCUUCAGUAUAUAUAUUUUGCGAGGAGUGUAACGAGAUGUCGUAACUCGUGUCGCCUCCACAAACUUCAGACACUAUUGUGAGAGAGGGAAAUUUAAGGGCGAAGGUUAAACGAAUGUGGCCGUUUCCGUUAGACAGUCGAAAUGGAGAGCAGUGAGAAACGUGCGCAAAAUAAAAGUGCACUAACUUGAAGAAAAUCGCAGCGGAAAUCAAACGUAACGUGAUGGAAUUCGAUAUUCGAAAUAUUAUAUUAUUUAAAAUGGAAGGAUUGCAAUGGAGGGAUGUAUAGUUGUUUUUUACGUCCUACCAAAAAUUUAUUUUUUAUUAAAACAGAUUCUUAAAGAUUAGUUAGAUCGAGUAAAUAGUAAAAGAUGGUCGAAAUUUUAUAAAUUUCAAAUUGAUCUUUUCUUAAUCUUGUGAAUAUUUAAUCUUAGUAGUUUAAUUAAUUUCUAUAACCAAUUGGUAAUUUCUUCGAUAUUAAAAAUUCAAUGAGAACGGGAUAUUUUUUUUUUAAUAUUAAAUAAUAUUAGUCGCUGAAAUAUGAAUUAGGCGGAGGCAGAAUUUUACCGGGAGAAACCAUUCAAGCGGCAUCAACAGAAAGAAACUAAUCAUUAAGAGCGUCACAAGGAGCAAUGGGGGAAAGAGGAAGCAAAAACGAAAGAAUCAAUGUGGCAUUGUUCGCCGGCGUAAUGUGCUAUGAAAAGAAGAAAGGAACUAGGGAAAGAAUGGGAGUAAAAAUGUAGGAGAGAUGGUGAUAUACAGGAGCAAUGUUACGCGCGAUUAACUUCCUCUAAGAGACAACCGUGCCACAAACGACCUCCACCAAACAAUGUCAACCAUGAUGAAGGAAGAAAAUGAAGAAGCAACGUCACAAGGAAUUUUUAAUCCGGCUAAUUCACGAUUGCCAAGUUUAUUACUCAUUUCUCAUUUAUAUAUUUUGCCAUUUCAAUCCAAAAAUUUUUUAUAUGAUUGAUUCAUCUUUCGAUUUCAAUGAUUCUGGAGUAAUAAUAAAAUAAGCUUAGAGUUCAAAUUUAUAUUUCGAGAAAAUUGUUAAAAUCAGAAGUUGAAUAAUAAUAAAAAAAAUUUUUUACGAGUAAUUAAUUAAACUUUCAUUUGUCGCAUUACUCUUUAUUAAACCUACAAAUUUCACGGACUCUAUGCUUGUUCCACACAAUAUAUAUCCAUAAUAUCCAUUGAGAAUGAAAAGAAACUUUCGUAAAAGGAUCUUCACAUAUAAAAUUAUGAUGGAUAUUUAAUAAGCAUAAAUAAACUCAAAGUGUAUUGCACGAAAGGAAUAAAACAUACUAAGUAUUCCACUCAGGGACACUAAAAGAUCCACCAUUAUUUUUGAAGGAAACUGUCUUGUAACGUAUCUCUCGGGACGUCGUCUACCAUUUUCUUGAAAGGCUACAAAUAUUGAUAACACGUAUGAUCCAUACGAAAUGAAUGCUACAAAACAUGCUCACGAAAAGAAAUAUCGUUCAACGUUCAUAUCACGAUGAAUAUAAAGGGACGUUAACAUCGCCUGAAAAAUCGAACGUUCCUGAAUUCGUUUCUUUCAUAUCAUCUUUCACAUUGAACUUACAAACCUCGACGUUUUUCCACUACGUUCUCAGCGGUAGUUUAUUAGAAAAAAUUACUCGGACGAUUCGUCUGGUCGAUUCAUAGUUUUUUUCCAUGUAAAAGAAAAAAAAAGAAAGAAAGAAAAAGGAGAAAGGGUGAGAGAAGGGUUGGGAAGGAGACGACUGAUAAGCUCAAAUGGAUCCCACUUUAUCAUGGGUGAGAGGGUAGGGGUCAGAGUUACUCAGGAGGUUUAUCUAGGUAGUACAAGAGCUUACGAUGUCACGCGAUCCAAUUUGACAGUAUAAGUGACAGGAUAGAGCAUUUACUCGAGAUCAAAUAAGCCUAUGUAAGUGCAUCCAUACAUGUAUAUAUAGCCUCAUAUUAGCGCUCGAUUAACACACUCUGCCUGUAGAUGGAAUGACAUUGGGAAACAAGAAACCUGAUGUAAUGCGUAUUAACUUGGUAUCGUGAAACAAUCACUAUGCAACGAAUAAGAGACGUAUUAAUCACGAUUAUUCAGUCACAUGUAUUCCUCUGUUUGUAAGUGAUACAAUACUCCUUUUAAUUAGGUAAUGCACGAUAACGAAGCAUUAUCAGAGAUGUGAUAAUUGAUUAGAAUAUCUGUGCAAAAUGAAGGUUUGAGAUAUGUGAUAAAAAUUUAAGAAUUUGUAAGAAUUAUUUGGAACAGUUACAGGAAAAUUAAUGAUGCAUUAAUUGUUAUAAAGCUAUUAAAGAAGUGUUCAGUGAAGAGAUAAAAUUGAAACAAAUACCGUAUAAUAAUAAUAAUUAUAAUAAUUGUAAUAUUAAAUAGUAAGAUAAAAAUUUAAGUUUAUCUUUUUUUUUUUCAAUACUUAUAAACGGGAGAGUAUAUUUUACUUUUCUUGACAUACAAAUAUACCAUUAGUUUAUCUUUCCACGAAACCAUAGCUGCGGAUUUCAUUUUGAACUUCUAAGUCAAAUGUUUGUAAAGCCUUUCCACAAAAAACAGGGGCUUCCAGAUUUAUCUCGAACUUCGAAAAUCAAAUAUUUAUACGAUCGUCCGUAAAAAUAGGAUUUCAACUAACUUUCCAGUUUCUAUUUAGUUUUUAUUUGUUCUACAAUUAUCUAGGUUCUAUUGUACUUUUACAUGGUAUUUUUGUUUCGUGAAAAGAUUAUGCACUCCGAUGGUUUAGAAUUUUUGUAUAUCAUGUAAAGUUCUUAUCGAAGAGAAAAAAAAAAUGAAAAUGUAAAACCAUCGCUAAAAGUUUUUAUCAAAGUUAAAUUAAAUUAAAUUCACUGGAAGGUUGUAGGUUUAGUUGUAUCUGUAUCUCUAUUAUGACAUUGUUUCAGCUUCAGCAAGCAAAACGAGGAACACUGGCAAUUUCACAAAAGGGUAUGAUGAGAACUAAUGAUAAUAGUACCCUCGAAAAAGAGAGUUAAAAUAUCAAGAUCAAAAAACAACUAGAGAAAAUGAAGAUUUAUAUAUUCAAAUAAUUUAAAAAAAUUUUUGUUUUAUUUAACAUUUAUAUUUAGAUAAGUAUUUCUUGAAAUAUUAAAUAUAUCAGUUUUCGAUUCGAAAAUUCAAUUUUUUUUUUUUACAUUUGAAAAUAAGAAUGGUAUUGUCUGUCACAAAAGAUUGUAGUGAGAAUUAUCUGUUAUAAAAUUCUUUUACCAACUAUUCAAUCAUGGAAUUGAAAUUGGAGAUAGUUUUGACAGAUCGGUCAGGAACAAUUAACGAGUCGGCAUCGUUAAAGAAACAUGGUGCCAACAAAGCUUUUCAAAUAUUGCGAAAUUGGUCGAUAUCGACUCUACCUGUUGCGUCGUUUUAGUCGCUUACAAUACCUGACUGUGACAUCGAUCUGUGACGUUUCUUUUAUACGUCUAUUUUUCCGCAAAACCUGACGAGUAUCUUUUCUUAAGGACGAGUAUACAUUCUUUUAUUAAAAAUAAAAUAAUCGAUGUGUUACAAUUUUAGUAAUUUUAUUCACAUUCGAUGUUUCGAAUUCUUUGCACCAAGAACUUUUUUCACGGAGGAAAAAAAAAUUGAUUACUCUUCCUUUCUUUAAUCGAAAGAAAUAAAGAAACAAAGAAAAAGAGAGAUCUCUCAAUCUGAAUUUCGCAAAUGAAUGCAUCGAAUGCAUACGAUGCAUUAAGUCCCAACCGCAACGAAUGCAUUGUAGAGAGAGAGAGGGGAUGAAGGGUCGAGAGUGCUCUCGUUUGGAGUUUCCACCUUUUAUCGGAAACGUUCGCGGUAUCCGAGGGAAAUGGGUUUUAGCCAAGUGCUACUAUAAAUUCUAUUUGUUCCGGUGAAAACAGUAAUACAUCAUGGCUUCUUACGGCAAUUAUGUCUACAUCUGAUUAUGUACGAUUAUGCAAAUGCUUCAAACAAGUAUAUAUAUAUUUCGUCCUGGAACAAAGAUCACUGCACAACGAUUUUGAUAUAUCUCGUUGAGGAAAUGAGGAAACUUGAGCAGAAUUUAUUAGAAAAGCAAACGUUCAGAGUUUAUUUUACAAAUUGAAAAAGGAUCUCAAUUUACUUUAUACCUUUACAGUCGAAUUAAUUCAAGUUUUAUACGAUAACGGUCAAUAGCAGAUAAUUUAAGAAGAAAGUUAUAUCGUUUUUAAAAGGAAAGUAAAAUAUUUUAAAUAUAAUUAAAGCUUCUACGUAAACAAGAUUCAUUUUUCUUGGUGAAAAUAUAAUUAUCUAUUUUUUUUUUUUUAUUAAUUCUCCGGCAAUGGCAGAUAGCAAACACGAUCUCUAAAAAAUUUCGACCUAACGUUUGUCGUCCACUAUUUUAUACGAAUAAUUUUUUGGUCGCUUUCCAUUUCUCCGAAUUUUCCCCCGAUAAGAACGUAUUCUGCCGUUGACAUAUUUGAUGUACGAGGGUAAGGCAUUCACCAGGAUAACCGGAAAAAAUUGUUGCAACGUAUUCUUCGGACCAUAUUACUUCCGGCAGUUUAUAAAAAAAAAAAAAAAAGAAAGAAUAACGGCAGUCGAAACAUUUUACAGUAGAAAAUGAUAACAGGAUAUAAAUUUCACCUGUGGCCUCGUCAUUUCGUAAAUCAGAACAAUCAUUCGCGUGAUUUAUAUCUUCGUAAAUCAUUGUGAUUAAAUCACCAUACAAUUUAUAUAUUUCUAUAAAUCAUGUAGUACUAUCGUAGUAGUAGUACUAUCGUAAUAAAUAUAUAAUAUGAUACUUUUAGAGAUAUGUAAUCCAUUUUUAUCGAUCUUUAUCUCUUCUUCGCGAAAAGUUUGCAACAAUACAACACAAUCUCAUUCUUCUAAAUGAAUCGAUAUCUGUUCCCGCAGAUUUAUUCUGCACUUAAUUGCAACUCGAAUCCUCCAUUUACAACAAUGUACAGUGGCUCCACUUAAUUGAUCAAUUAAUUACGUCCAUUAGUUUCAUAUACACACAUCCUUGCGAUUAUUAUUAUCGGCGAUAUAAUUACUUUAAAUGCCAAAUAAACGGCGAUGCGAUCGAUCUCGUAUCCUUCUCGUUUCCAAAAAUUCACGUGUCUUUGAAAAUUCACGAAAAAAAGGGAUCACGAAUCAUUCCACGCGUUGAACACGAUCGUUCUCGCCGGAUAUUACCAACAACGCGUUGACGUUUAUCUGUUUCCAGGCUGCGAUUUUCUCCGAACCGAAAAAAGGAGAGAGAGAAAGAGAGACAGACAGAAAAAUCGGGGGAGGGGAAAAAAACAAAACAAAAAUACGAGAGAUGGAUAAUAAAAAUCCCGCUAUCUGGAGAGAACGAUGCACUCGAGCACGAAUGCUGCUCAUCUCUCCACCACCGAUCCCGUUUUGCCGAAAUUUACGAUAUGGCCGUGGGCAUCGCGCAUAAAACCAACUUUAAAACGGUUCGAUCGGCAACCUACAGAGAGAGAAAGAGAGAGAGAGAGAGAGACGAAGGAAUGGCCGUGGCCAAAACAACCGGGAAUCAGAGAAAGAUAAACAAGGAAUGAGAACGAAGAGGGAGUAAUGGCCGAGGCCGUACACGCGCGAUAUUUCCCUUGUUUGUUUUCCAUUACUCCGCGGAAGGCAGCUGUCCGUUGCCGGCGUGGAAUAUAGCGCGGCAAUGAUAAGGGAAGAGGGUUCGUGUAUAAUGGAGAGAAUUGUGCCUUCACGAUUCGACGAGCCCUUUGGUGCAAUGGCGCGAAACUCUCGGUACUAUCCUUCUGCUAGUUUCACCCUGUUCCAUAGAUUGCGCCAGCCACUUGAACGGUGCCCGAUUUCCCGCGGGAUCGCGCGUGGAAUCGAUAAAAAGGUUCCUUUUAUUUUUCCUUGGCUGGAAUGGUAACCGGAAACCGGAAGAAUCGAGCUCAUUCGGGGUUGUGAUGGUGGGGUGGUCGAGUGCUGCACGCUUUGGACGGGAUUAAAGGUUCGUUUUUUCUUUCUUUCUUUUUUUUUUUUCUUAACUCUGAUCGAUGAUCGAGGAGGAUCGUCGGAGGCACGGACAAACGGAAGAUCGACGGAGGAGGAAGAGCGGUGGGAUUUUUCGAGGAUUUUGCGGAGAGAGAUCGAUUACUCGCGAUUGGUUGGGAUUGUAACGCGAUUGAGAUGCGAGAUGAGCGGAUAUGAAGCGGAAUUAUUGGGGAUCGUGGAUGGAUCGUGGUUGCUGUUUGCUCGGCAGGAAUUUGUUCAAAGUAUGGGGAAAAGGGAUGUCUUAGUUUGAGUUGAAAAUUAAAUUGCUUUCGUUGAGCUUUAAUGGAAAACCGACCCCUUCCCUUCCAAGUUUUUCAGCGAAAUUUGUGUAAGGAAUCUCACGAAUCCGAUGGUUGAUUUUGUAUUAAUGGCUUGGUGUUUUCGCUUUGCUCGUUUUCUAAUUUUGUUCUUUGUUCUUUCUUCUUUUUGACCAACGUGGCUCAUGUUUCGAAGAAAUAGCGAUAUUAUAUGAGAGUCGAUCGCAAAAGACAUUUUUGCCAACAUUCACAUUACAUUUUUUAAAAAUAUAAAUCUUUGGAAGUUGAUUUUAUUUUUGUCAAAAAGGCUUUCGUUCGAAACAAAAAAUACAUUAUUAUAUUAUAUACGUAUAAACUUUCGAUAAAAUCAGAAAUUCCAAGUAGCGUGAAUUUAUUUUGCAUCGUAGAAUACAAAUACUUUUCCAACUUACUGUACACGGCAGAUAUUUACGAUCUUUGAAACACUUCCUCUCGAACUGUUCCUGCUCGUAAAACGAAUUCAUCUUGCCUGUGUACCGAGCUGUAACACGAUGUUCAGAAAUUUCGAUAGUUGGAGAGAUCGCAUGGCAAAGACAAUCGUUGUUUCGAAACAGUAAUGAACAACGCGUUUAAUGCGCCUUCGAAAGUUGUUAACUUCUAUCCCAACGUUUGAUAACACUGAUCAGUUUGAUAAAUAUACAGGAUUUUGCAGGCCAAACCGAAUCGUUAACGCUCUCUCUCAGCGUUCGUAAACGACACUUUUUAUGGAACGAUAUAAAGUGCGUUUGACCCGUUUCCAAGCAAUCGAAAUGAUUGAACGAUGAUGAACGAAUCAAACCCGAUAGUUUUCUGGCCGAAUGCAGAAAGGACUGGUGUUAAUAUAUUAUCAACGAUCGAGCUAAAUAAUGCGAAUCACGUUUGGUAAUUACCGGGUCACUAAUUAUGCGAAAGGUGUUUUGAUGUGACGGAAAUACUGCAAAAGGGGAUCUAAUUUAUAGCUUAAUCUACCUUUCCCCCCUCCCCGUCCAGCUGUCAAUUACGACGUGUUGUAAUAAACCGGUGGUCGAGAUUGGCUUUUUCGAUCGUGCCCAAUUUCUUUUCGCGCGGUUUUCUGAUAAAUUGUCCUUUUGCUUGCUCCAACUUCACCGUGAAAUAUCGAAUUAUCGUUCGUGGAAAGAUUAAAAAAGUCGUAUCUCGCUCGGACUUUCUCGUGAUAUAUUAAAUUAGAGGCCGCGAAAAGAGAAAGAUCUAUCCGUUUUGCAAUAAAGUUCAUGCCAAGUAUCGAAUUAUCGCAGCAGAAUGAAAAGUGGUUAUUACUCUUAUUACCCUUUUUUCUUUUUAAUUCUUUAAUUCUUUUUUUUUUUUUUAACAAUAAACGCAAUAUUAGAAUAGCAUCAACUGUAAUCGAGAAGGAAAACGAGUCUAUAAAGAAUAUAUGGAAUUAUGGAAAGAAUCGAUGAAAAAUUAAAUCAAAAUUUUAACAAUCCUGAUAAAAUUUAUUGCAGGAUAUAUUGAUUUAUUAUUAUGGAUGUAUUGAUAUUAUUUUCGAAAUUAUUUUAUUAAAUAAACGUUUUAUUGUAUAUAUACUUUUUUAAUAUUUCUUUUUCGACAAACAUGCGUGAAAUAAAAUUGCAAUUUUCAAUAUCGAACACGAAUUUCAAUUAUUUGAUAAUAAAUUAUAUGAUUGAAAUGAUGGAAAGAUCUUGUUGAACUUCGUAAUAUUUAAAAUAUAUUAGUGAAAUUCAAUCAUAUCUUGUAUAACGUGAUAAUAUAAUAUUUACUUGACUAUAUUAUUCUAUAUUAAUAUAACCGCGAUAUAGCUUUGAAUAUUCAUGAUAUCAUAGUUAUCAAAGCAAAGAGUGUAAAAAAAGAUGAGAGGAUAUUUUAUUUUUUCGCUUUACUUUGAAUUUAAUUUUUUUUCAUAUUAAAAAAUACAGUGUAUUAUAAAUUUUCAAUGAAUUCUGAAAUUUAAUUUCUCAUAAAAAGCUUAUUCUUUUUAUUCUUCUAUAAAUUACAAUUUGAUAAAAAUAUUUUAAAUUUAUUUCGUAUAAAGGUAUAACAAAUUUUUCAUUGUAACAUUAACAAGAGAUAUUGGAACGGAAGUAAAAAAUUUCUGUCCUGAGAUACAAAUUUCCAUUGAUUUCAAAAUUUCAAUCGAAUUUAAUAAUUUACAUUAUCAAAACAUUACUACCUUCCUUACAUCACAUCUCUCUUAUUUUCACCAACAAGACCAAGAAAAAAAAACAACUUUUCAUAAGAUCCUUCAUUCCAAUUCCAACUCGCAACAAUUAUUCAAAUCCUUUCUCGCCAAAUAUAUCACGAAGCAUUAAAAUUCACGUGUCGACACGUUCUCGCGAUUACGAGAUUUCUACUUAAAUACACACAUGAUGUAAUCAAGCGCAAAUGCUUCGAACAAACGCGAACUCCUCCUAGAAAUAGAAAGAAAGAGAGAAGACGUAUCCAAAACGAAGGUUGCACGCGUAGCAGAAAUUUUUUAUAAAUGGACGGUGCCUCUCUGUAAACGUCCAAAACCCAUUCUGUUCUCGAGAGGGCGCUCAACGUCCCUCGUACGCACAGGUGAGAACCAUCGAGACUCGUUUAUUCCCGUACCCCUUUUCGAGACAAGAAUUUCAACUGCCUUCUAUUCGCCGUGCAACGAGAUUCGUUCAACCCGGCGAAACAAGCACGGCGAAUAAAAAUAAUUUUCGCGAUUGUCUAUGGUUACGAGAUCGAAUUAACAUAACGGAGAGCAAGGUAAGUUGGCGGAAACAUGGCGUUGCGAAUUGUGUAAGUUAUACGCAUAUACGUAAUCGCGUUUAACGGCCUUUUCAUCGAUGUUCGAACACCUUCGCCGUUUCUUCGAACAAGUUUGUCCGAGAGUAGUACGUGGGAGAAAAAGUUUUCACUUGAUAAUCUUGUACAAGUUUCGUGCUAGCAAAUCGUGACGAGGUUUAUUUUUUUUCCACGCGGAAAGAUUAUGGAUUUUUUUAAAAAAAUUUAGUACACGAAUAUUACAGAUCAAUAAUAAUAAUAAUAAAGUAUCCAUUAUAUAGGAAUCAAUGGAGAGACAAGAUUAUAAAAUAACUUUCGUUAUAUCGAGAAAAAUAAUACACAUAUUUACAUACGUAUCUUCCAUCUUUCGAUACUCUAUAUCCAUCGAUCGCCAAAAAAUCGAAUCGUAUAUAUUCAACAAUCCCGUUACAAAAGAAUCUAAAUUCAGUCAACGAAACGAGACGAAAUUAGUAAUCCCGUGGCAGGUGUCAAAGAAAAUCCACUCGGGAGUAAUUAAAUUCCAUCGAUCCAUAAAUUCCACGUGCGCGUCAUCAACGCGGACGGAUCGAAAUCAAAAUCGAGUGUGGGCCCGGAGACGAUGGAUGGAUGGAUGGAUGGGCGAGCGAGUGAAACGUGGGCGGCCUAACAAUGCGGAGAACGCGGAGCGGGAGAAUACGCGCGAUUUGCAAUCGUUGCACGGUGGUGCAUCGUUGGAGCGAUCCGCGCGUCACGUCGCCGGCCGGCCGGCCGGCUACGACGACACGAAGCUGGGUCGGAAGCAAUUAGCAAUUAAAAUCGAGGGCUCGGCGAUUGAUCGGUCUGGUAUGAUACGAGGCUGUCCCACGGGCCAAUCGACUCCUGGAUUAUAAUUACGGCCGCUAAUUGCGCCCACCCCGCACCCUCGCCUCGUUCCUCGCCACUUCUGGCAAAGAGUGGGCCGUGUGAUUGGUAUCCGACAGGACACAGGGAGGGUUUAAACGUUCCGAGGACUUCAUUUCCGACGUUGGAAAUUUUCGUUUGUCCGCCCGAUAAUUAAUUUCGAUCUAACCGGAGCUCUCUACAGCCUCGUCUCCGGGGAGAGAAAGGAGGACGAAAUUCGAAGAUUCGAUUAUCCGUUACAUACAUACAUUUCUACGUGCAUUUCCGGUGUUUAAUUCCAACGAUUCGAGAGUUAUUACGAUUUCUUUUAAUACACGAGGCAUCGACGAGACCCUUCUCAAUACAGAGUUGUCCUGUGAACAAGGGACGAGUGAAAGGAGGCGAAGACAAUCGUGGAAUUCUAAUAAACGUUCGACCACGAUCGUUAACUCGAUCGGAAACGAGAUUCCCGAAAAAAGGCUUGGUUUCGAACGAGUUAAAGGUACGUACGUACAAUCAAAUACGUGGAUACUCUCUUAAUUGUAGCAGUUAACGAUGAAGAGUGAGAGAGCGACAUUGCAGAUCAUUGUGGUGAAUUUGAUUAAACUUUAAUUAAACUUUUUUGAUUAACAUAAACAAUGCAUUUAAUAUCUUAUUCGAAAAAUAUCAAUUUAUUUUAUUUUAUUUGUUAUUAGAUAAUUUACAUUGCAUGUUAGCAAGUAUCCACCUAUUUGUAAAUGGUACUAUAUAUUAUAUAUAUAUAUCUCUGCCUAUUUCGCUCGCUUUUUCUCCUUUUUCGCGCUAUUUCUCCACGUUAUCCCGAACUGAUACUUCGCGCGGAAUGAUAAAGCUUGCAACCCGCUAUGAAUUAUCGAGGGCAUGAAAAUAUAUAUAUAUAUAUGUGUGUGUAUGUGUGUAUUCAUAUAUAUUUAUAACCACACUCACGUCAUUUUGAGCGAAGGUCGGCGUAAUUGGCCCAUCGCUGGCUUCCCAUUUGUCGGCGAUGCGGAUCGUCUCCGCCGUUUUCUGCUGCACCGAUUUCGACUCAUCGAGCAACGUCAGCUCGUAAAACUCCUGGAUAUCUGCAACAGUCCGGAAAACGAUAAAUUAAAUUAAUACGUAUUAAACAAUAACUAUCGACAUUUAUUGCGAUAUUCUUUCACUUCGAAUCAUAAAUUCAUUUUGUUCAUAAUUGUUCUUUUUAAAGAAUCGAAUUGAUUUGGUUCAAUAUGCGGAUGCCCUAUCUCUAAUUCUAUAUCUAUCUUUUGUUAUUUAUGACGGAAGAGAAAAAUGUUAUUUAAUUUCAAGAAUUAAAUAAUAUUUUCUUCCGAUAUUUUAUUAUCGUAAAUAAUAAAUGAAUAAUAUUUAAGAUUCUCAAGUUAUAUGAAACACGUACAUUUCACGUAUAUUUCAAAUGCAUCACUGUUUGAAGUAAUAUUUUUCAUAUCUGCUUAAUAUUCAAUAUAGUUCUAUGGAUGUAUUACUGAUAUAUGAAGUCUCUCUAUUGAAGUCUCACUAUUGAAGUCUUUCUAGAAAAUAUUCAACAUGAAUACGUACAGAAAGAUACACAUAAUUUUCAAGAGCUUGUCUCUAUGACCUCGAUGGAUCUUUCUUGAGCUUGGUCGUCUUUUGAGGACACUGAAAAUAUAAUACCGACGACAACCAGUCUAACACGGAUCCUUUGUGGGAUCGUAGUGGGGUCGUAUUUCCCCGGUACAACGUUUAACCACUAGUCUUUUGGAUAGAAUGUCGAUAGACAGGAUAUGGAUCGAAUGACGACAAUUUUGUUAGUUAAAUUAAUCAAAGAGAAUAUACACAUAACUUGAAAUAAUUAAAUUUCCUCUCAAUUGAUUAAUGAGAGAUGAAAUAUCGCAAUAAUAUGGAAUAAUGGAGGAUAUUACAAAGAAGAUUAUAAUAAAAGAAAUUUUUCACAGAUCAACAUCGUCAGUGGUUUAAACUUAAUUAUGGUUGGUCUGGUAUUAUAUCUAGUAAUAUUGAUAUAUAACGUAAUGACAUAACUCUAGAAUUAACUCUGGAAAUUACUCACGAGAGGGCAACUAACAAGUGACACUCCUGAGGGCGAUACUUCAAGUGUGUCAAUAAUUUUUAUUCUUCGAUAUAUAUAGUAAUCUCAGUCACAAUUACGUACCAACUUAAUUAUUAUACUUAAAAACUGAUUUCUACGUCGAAGAAAAAUUCACACGAAUAAUACCCUAAAAGAAAAUACUUGGACAUAGACGGAGGACAUUUUUUUCAAGAUUUUCUUAACGGGCGAAAAAAUUUAAACUAAACCCACAGCCACACGUAGCUGCAUGUUAAACGUCAAAGAGACCGCUUGUUAUUCGUGGCGAAAAAAAUUCUACGACUUUAAUUAACGUCCCGACUUUUUGUCGUAGCGAACGGCAGCCGUCCUCGAAACGCUGUGCGCCUGGUCCUCUAAUUUUUCGUUUUAAUUCACAUCUAAUGGCAUCUUCUCCGCGCUCUCCAAUCCCAGCAAGUCGAGAGAGUGUGUCGUUGGCACUAUUUAUGCAAGCAACGGGAAUCUUUCUACUCUACCUCUUGGGUACAACUCGCAGCCGGCUACAAAGUUGAGUAUUCGAGAAACCACGUUUCGAAGUCGUUCUCGAGGACCUUUUUCAACAGAGGGAGGAGCGUAAGAUGUCAUUGGACGUGAUCUCAGGCAAACAUCACCCACGAGGUUUUCAUACUUAUUUUUUCCACGAUGUCGUCGAAGAAAUACACGUUGUUCGAAGAUGAAGGAUUUACGGCGACGAAGAUAUGACAAGUAGAUAUAAAUAGAUGCGUGAUAUUUAAUUCUAUAGUUAUAGUAGAAGUAGAAUGUAUAUAAUAAAAUCAAUAAUUAGCAAAAUUUUAUAUCAUUUUAUAUCAUAAGGUAUCUCAUUUAAUUUAAAUAUCUCAAUAUCUUUAUUUUUUAUAAUAAAAAAAAUUACAGAGAAAAAAAUUAUUUCGUUUGUAGAAAUAUAUAUUAUAAUACAUAAAGAUUUCUUUAAAUAAUGAGCAACUUUAAGUUAAAUGAGAUACCUUACGGACAAAAUUUCAUACUUCACUUAUUAAAUAUAGAUAAAGAAAUAAAAGGAAAUAAAAGAAUUUAUUUUAUAUUAUAUUAUAUUUAUAUUUUAUUAUAUUAAUUUAUAGAAUUUUAUUGAAUAUAAUUGUAAUAAUAUUGUACAAUAUUAUAAUAAUAUUAUAUAAUAAAAUUGAAUAAUAAAAAAA